This 180-nucleotide unclassified non-coding RNA is filed under the name Basidiomycota sp. RNAcentral describes it as "partial contains small subunit ribosomal RNA, internal transcribed spacer 1, and 5.8S ribosomal RNA". The stretch from base 1 to 47 matches the Rfam family "Eukaryotic small subunit ribosomal RNA", at positions 1785 to 1831 of the family's 1831-position model. The record is from RNAcentral. Lineage: Eukaryota; Fungi; Basidiomycota.
AAAGUCGUAACAAGGUUUCCGUAGGUGAACCUGCGGAAGGAUCAUUAAUAAAUGAGCGCAAGCUUUAUAUAUUAUUCCAUACACCUGUGAACUAUUGCCUUCGGGCAUUUCAAACAUAAUGUAAUGAAUGUAAACUAUUAUAACAAAAUAUAACUUUCAACAACGGAUCUCUUGGCUCUC